GAUGAACGCUGGCGGCGUGCCUAACACAUGCAAGUCGAACGGGGUAUACGCGGAGAUGAUCGAAGUGCUUGCAUAGAGAGAGUCAAGUGUAUACUUAGUGGCGGACGGGUGAGUAACGUGUGGAUAACCUGGUCCAUCCAGGGGGAUAGCAGCUGGAAACGGCUGGUAAUACCGCAUAAGCGCACAGUAAGGCAUCUUACAGUGUGAAAAGAAUUAUCGGGAUGGAAUGGAUCCGCAUCUGAUUAGCCAGUUGGCGGGGUAGAAGCCCACCAAAGCGACGAUCAGUAGCCGGCCUGAGAGGGCGGACGGCCACAUUGGGACUGAGACACGGCCCAGACUCC
This 341-nucleotide ribosomal RNA is filed under the name uncultured Butyrivibrio sp. Its description in RNAcentral is "bacterial SSU rRNA". It matches the Rfam family "Bacterial small subunit ribosomal RNA", at positions 28 to 339 of the family's 1533-position model. The record is from RNAcentral. Lineage: Bacteria; Bacillati; Bacillota; Clostridia; Lachnospirales; Lachnospiraceae.